RNAcentral lists this non-coding RNA (27 nucleotides) under Rattus norvegicus (Norway rat). The record is from RNAcentral. Lineage: Eukaryota; Metazoa; Chordata; Mammalia; Rodentia; Muridae.
GAACACUGGGGGCCUACCUGUUUGUCU